GCUGGGCACAGUGGUGCAUGCCUGCAAUCCCAGUGGUUUGGGAGGCUGAGGCAGGAGGAUCACGAGUUCAGAGCCAGCCUCACCAACUUAGCAAGGUCCUAAGCAACUCAGUGAGACCCUGUCUCUA
Molecule: small RNA, 127 nt
Filed under: Marmota monax (woodchuck)
Lineage: Eukaryota; Metazoa; Chordata; Mammalia; Rodentia; Sciuridae
Source: RNAcentral